RNAcentral lists this ribosomal RNA (906 nucleotides) under uncultured Bacteroidota bacterium. Its description in RNAcentral is "bacterial SSU rRNA". It matches the Rfam family "Bacterial small subunit ribosomal RNA", at positions 20 to 916 of the family's 1533-position model. The record is from RNAcentral. Lineage: Bacteria; Pseudomonadati; Bacteroidota.
UGGCUCAGGAUGAACGCUAGCUACAGGCUUAACACAUGCAAGUCGAGGGGAAACGACAUCGAAAGCUUGCUUUUGAUGGGCGUCGACCGGCGCACGGGUGAGUAACGCGUAUCCAACCUGCCCACCACUUGGGGAUAACCUUGCGAAAGUAAGACUAAUACCCAAUGAUAUCUCUAGAAGACAUCUGAAAGAGAUUAAAGAUUUAUCGGUGAUGGAUGGGGAUGCGUCUGAUUAGCUUGUUGGCGGGGUAACGGCCCACCAAGGCAACGAUCAGUAGGGGUUCUGAGAGGAAGGUCCCCCACAUUGGAACUGAGACACGGUCCAAACUCCUACGGGAGGCAGCAGUGAGGAAUAUUGGUCAAUGGACGAGAGUCUGAACCAGCCAAGUAGCGUGCAGGAUGACGGCCCUAUGGGUUGUAAACUGCUUUUAUAAGGGAAUAAAGUGAGUCUCGUGAGACUUUUUGCAUGUACCUUAUGAAUAAGGACCGGCUAAUUCCGUGCCAGCAGCCGCGGUAAUACGGAAGGUCCGGGCGUUAUCCGGAUUUAUUGGGUUUAAAGGGAGCGUAGGCCGGAGAUUAAGCGUGUUGUGAAAUGUAGACGCUCAACGUCUGCACUGCAGCGCGAACUGGUUUCCUUGAGUACGCACAAAGUGGGCGGAAUUCGUGGUGUAGCGGUGAAAUGCUUAGAUAUCACGAAGAACUCCGAUUGCGAAGGCAGCUCACUGGAGCGCAACUGACGCUGAAGCUCGAAAGUGCGGGUAUCGAACAGGAUUAGAUACCCUGGUAGUCCGCACGGUAAACGAUGGAUGCCCGCUGUUGGUCUGAAUAGGUCAGCGGCCAAGCGAAAGCAUUAAGCAUCCCACCUGGGGAGUACGCCGGCAACGGUGCAACUCAAAUGAAUUGACGG